AUAGGGCGUUUAGUAUUUGGUCGUAGACCCGAAACCAGGUGAUCUACCCUUGGUCAGGUUGAAGUUCAGGUAACACUGAAUGGAGGACCGAACCGACUUACGUUGAAAAGUGAGCGGAUGAACUGAGGGUAGCGGAGAAAUUCCAAUCGAACCUGGAGAUAGCUGGUUCUCUCCGAAAUAGCUUUAGGGCUAGCCUCAAGUGAUGAUUAUUGGAGGUAGAGCACUGUUUGGACGAGGGGCCCCUCUCGGGUUACCGAAUUCAGACAAACUCCGAAUGCCAAUUAAUUUAACUUGGGAGUCAGAACAUGGGUGAUAAGGUCCGUGUUCGAAAGGGAAACAGCCCAGACCACCAGCUAAGGUCCCAAAAUAUAUGUUAAGUGGAAAAGGAUGUGGCGUUGCCCAGACAACUAGGAUGUUGGCUUAGAAGCAGCCAUCAUUUAAAGAGUGCGUAAUAGCUCACUAGUCGAGUGACACUGCGCCGAAAAUGUACCGGGGCUAAACAUAUUACCGAAGCUGUGGAUUGUCCUUUGGACAAUGGUAGGAGAGCGUUCUAAGGGCGUUGAAGCAUGAUCGUAAGGACAUGUGGAGCGCUUAGAAGUGAGAAUGCCGGUGUGAGUAGCGAAAGACGGGUGAGAAUCCCGUCCACCGAUUGACUAAGGUUUCCAGAGGAAGGCUCGUCCGCUCUGGGUUAGUCGGGUCCUAAGCUGAGGCCGACAGGCGUAGGCGAUGGAUAACAGGUUGAUAUUCCUGUACCACCUAUAAUCGUUUUAAUCGAUGGGGGGACGCAGUAGGAUAGGCGAAGCGUGCGAUUGGAUUGCACGUCUAAGCAGUAAGGCUGAGUAUUAGGCAAAUCCGGUACUCGUUAAGGCUGAGCUGUGAUGGGGAGAAGACAUUGUGUCUUCGAGUCGUUGAUUUCACACUGCCGAGAAAAGCCUCUAGAUAGAAAAUAGGUGCCCGUACCGCAAACCGACACAGGUAGUCAAGAUGAGAAUUCUAAGGUGAGCGAGCGAACUCUCGUUAAGGAACUCGGCAAAAUGACCCCGUAACUUCGGGAGAAGGGGUGCUCUUUAGGGUUAACGCCCAGAAGAGCCGCAGUGAAUAGGCCCAAGCGACUGUUUAUCAAAAACACAGGUCUCUGCUAAACCGUAAGGUGAUGUAUAGGGGCUGACGCCUGCCCGGUGCUGGAAGGUUAAGAGGAGUGGUUAGCUUCUGCGAAGCUACGAAUCGAAGCCCCAGUAAACGGCGGCCGUAACUAUAACGGUCCUAAGGUAGCGAAAUUCCUUGUCGGGUAAGUUCCGACCCGCACGAAAGGCGUAACGAUUUGGGCACUGUCUCAACGAGAGACUCGGUGAAAUCAUAGUACCUGUGAAGAUGCAGGUUACCCGCGACAGGACGGAAAGACCCCGUGGAGCUUUACUGUAGCCUGAUAUUGAAAUUCGGCACAGCUUGUACAGGAUAGGUAGGAGCCUUUGAAACGUGAGCGCUAGCUUACGUGGAGGCGCUGGUGGG
This 1509-nucleotide ribosomal RNA is filed under the name Staphylococcus aureus. RNAcentral's name for it is "partial 23S ribosomal RNA". It matches the Rfam family "Bacterial large subunit ribosomal RNA", at positions 687 to 2196 of the family's 2925-position model. Lineage: Bacteria; Bacillati; Bacillota; Bacilli; Caryophanales; Staphylococcaceae. The record is from RNAcentral.